GGGAAUACAGCUCAGUGAUAGAGUGCUUGUUCAGCAUGUAAGAGAACCAGGGUUCAAUCUCCAGUAUUACCA
RNAcentral lists this transfer RNA (72 nucleotides) under Marmota marmota marmota (Alpine marmot). It matches the Rfam family "tRNA". From Rfam's summary of the family: Transfer RNA (tRNA) molecules are approximately 80 nucleotides in length. Their secondary structure includes four short double-helical elements and three loops (D, anti-codon, and T loops). Further hydrogen bonds mediate the characteristic L-shaped molecular structure. tRNAs have two regions of fundamental functional importance: the anti-codon, which is responsible for specific mRNA codon recognition, and the 3' end, to which the tRNAs corresponding amino acid is attached (by aminoacyl-tRNA synthetases). tRNAs cope with the degeneracy of the genetic code in two manners: having more than one tRNA (with a specific anti-codon) for a particular amino acid; and 'wobble' base-pairing, i.e. permitting non-standard base-pairing at the 3rd anti-codon position. RNAcentral also lists the same sequence under 1 other name. Lineage: Eukaryota; Metazoa; Chordata; Mammalia; Rodentia; Sciuridae. The record is from Rfam by way of RNAcentral.